RNAcentral lists this ribosomal RNA (305 nucleotides) under uncultured bacterium. RNAcentral's name for it is "bacterial SSU rRNA". It matches the Rfam family "Bacterial small subunit ribosomal RNA", at positions 337 to 640 of the family's 1533-position model. The record is from RNAcentral.
GCCUACGGGGGGCAGCAGUGAGGAAUAUUGGUCAAUGGUCGGGAGACUGAACCAGCCAAGCCGCGUGAGGGAUGAAGGUACAGAGUAUCGUAAACCUCUUUUGUCAGGGAACAAAGGCGGGGACGCGUCCCCGGAUGAGUGUACCUGAAGAAAAAGCAUCGGGUAACCCCGUGCCAGCAGCCGCGGUAAUACGGAGGAUGCGAGCGUUAUCCGGAUUUAUUGGGUUUAAAGGGUGCGCAGGCGGUCUGUUAAGUCAGCGGUCAAAGCCCGGGGCUCAACCCCGGCCCGCCGUUGAAACUGGCAGG